UUUCUCCUGGCCUUGUUUCCAGGCUUCUUUCUUCUGAUUCCAGGUCAUGGUGCUGGCUGGUACAGGUAUGGCAGGAUGACAUGGUCCCUGGGACAGUCUCCAUGCUCCUGAAAAGUCUUUGCCAAUCCUGAUAACUGCUUGUGUUUGAGGAGGGGAGGUUGUUCCCUUGGUGCCUCUCAGUUGCCCUGUCCAAUGCCUGCACCCUACUAAGUGCAGUAAUCCAGGAAGCAAGGGAGACUGGCAGCUCCAUGGCUCCACCAUGCCCAGCCAUGUCCCCUUCUGUGUGGAG
Molecule: long non-coding RNA, 289 nt
Filed under: Cavia porcellus (domestic guinea pig)
Lineage: Eukaryota; Metazoa; Chordata; Mammalia; Rodentia; Caviidae
Description: lncRNA (ENSCPOG00000031563.1)
Source: RNAcentral